GGCAAUGUAGCUCAAUGGUAGAGCAGUGGGCUCAUAAUCCAAAGGUUGAGGGUUCAAUCCCCUCUGUUGCCA
RNAcentral lists this transfer RNA (72 nucleotides) under Mychonastes homosphaera. RNAcentral's name for it is "tRNA-Met". It matches the Rfam family "tRNA". From Rfam's summary of the family: Transfer RNA (tRNA) molecules are approximately 80 nucleotides in length. Lineage: Eukaryota; Viridiplantae; Chlorophyta; Chlorophyceae; Sphaeropleales; Mychonastaceae. The record is from RNAcentral.